GUCGUAACAAGGUUUCCGUAGGUGAACCUGCGGAAGGAUCAUUAACGAGUUUUGAAACGAGUUGUAGCUGGCCUUCCGAGGCAUGUGCACGCUCUGCUCAUCCACUCUACCCCUGUGCACUUACUGUAGGUUGGCGUGGGCUCCUUAACGGGAGCAUUCUGCCGGCCUAUGUAUACUACAAACRCUUUAAAGUAUCAGAAUGUAARCGCGUCUAACGCAUCUAUAAUACAACUUUUAGCAACGGAUCUCUUGGCUCUCGCAUCGAUGAAGAACGCAGCGAAAUGCGAUAAGUAAUGUGAAUUGCAGAAUUCAGUGAAUCAUCGAAUCUUUGAACGCACCUUGCGCUCCUUGGUAUUCCGAGGAGCAUGCCUGUUUGAGUGUCAUGGAAUUCUCAACUUAUAAAUCCUUGUGAUCUAUAAGCUUGGACUUGGAGGCUUGCUGGCCCUUGCGGUCGGCUCCUCUUGAAUGCAUUAGCUCGAUUCCGUACGGAUCGGCUCUCAGUGUGAUAAUUGUCUACGCUGUGACCGUGAAGUGUUUUGGCGAGCUUCUAACCGUCCAUUAGGACAACUUUUUAACAUCUGACCUCAAAUCAGGUAGGACUA
Molecule: ribosomal RNA, 602 nt
Filed under: Trametes versicolor
Lineage: Eukaryota; Fungi; Basidiomycota; Agaricomycetes; Polyporales; Polyporaceae
Description: eukaryotic LSU rRNA
Rfam family: 5.8S ribosomal RNA (bases 230-383)
Source: RNAcentral